AUAGUGAAGGACAUUUUAAAUACAGAACAACAUGGAUUUCACCUACUUACUACUGUUGACCAUCGUCAUGUUGCUACUAGCCACAAGUAUAACCUUGGCCCAAAGCCAGGAUGACCCUUACGCGAAUAGUUGGAACAAGCCGGAUGACCCUUACGGAGGGGAAUGGCGAGAUGUCUAGAGGAAUGUUUCCUACACACAGACAGGUGGAGAUAAGUGGCAGAUAAAAUGCAGCAACGUAGCAAACUUGUUCUUGUGAUAAAAUCUGC
Mya arenaria is the source of this 266-nucleotide long non-coding RNA. RefSeq lists it as uncharacterized. The transcript is spliced from 3 exons. NCBI's taxonomy places the organism in Eukaryota, Metazoa, Mollusca, Bivalvia, Myida, Myidae. The record is from RefSeq and is a predicted model, not a curated record.